AGAGCGAACGCUGGCGGCAGGCUUAACACAUGCAAGUCGAGCGGGCGUAGCAAUACGUCAGCGGCAGACGGGUGAGUAACGCGUGGGAACGUACCUUUUGGUUCGGAACAACCCAGGGAAACUUGGGCUAAUACCGGAUAAGCCCUUACGGGGAAAGAUUUAUCGCCGAAAGAUCGGCCCGCGUCUGAUUAGCUAGUUGGUGGGGUAAUGGCCCACCAAGGCGACGAUCAGUAGCUGGUCUGAGAGGAUGAUCAGCCACAUUGGGACUGAGACACGGCCCAAACUCCUACGGGAGGCAGCAGUGGGGAAUAUUGGACAAUGGGCGCAAGCCUGAUCCAGCCAUGCCGCGUGAGUGAUGAAGGCCCUAGGGUUGUAAAGCUCUUCUGUGCGGGAAGAUAAUGACGGUACCGCAAGAAUAAGCCCCGGCUAACUUCGCGCCAGCAGCCGC
This 448-nucleotide ribosomal RNA is filed under the name uncultured bacterium. Its description in RNAcentral is "SSU rRNA". It matches the Rfam family "Bacterial small subunit ribosomal RNA", at positions 26 to 518 of the family's 1533-position model. The record is from RNAcentral.